RNAcentral lists this unclassified non-coding RNA (1844 nucleotides) under Hevea brasiliensis (rubber tree). Lineage: Eukaryota; Viridiplantae; Streptophyta; Magnoliopsida; Malpighiales; Euphorbiaceae. The record is from RNAcentral.
CAGGAGGGGAGGUUGCAGAGAAAGUUGCAGGGCAGAGAGGUCGGUUCAGAUGUAGCUACCGCUUCCUUUUCUUCUUUCCCUUGACUUGAAGGCUAUGAGAGCAGUUGGAGCAUAGCCAUGUGCGAGCUGCUAGCCUUCUUGAAACGAAAUUCUUCAAUGCACCGGUAGACCUCAUGUCUUCGGGUCGGUUCCUUUUCGACGCAAGGAGAUACUAACGGAAGGCGGUAUCACAGUGAUCCAGUUGAGUCCCUCCAAAGGCAAGUUUGAGUUAAAUCAUAGCCAAACCCACAUGCUAAAAGCCAGCCUCAACCAUCGAUUAAGAUUCAAAACCCAUAUACAAAAACCCAAUCAGAGGCAAAACAGAGCAUGGAAACUGGGAAGAUUAAAGGGAUCGUCGGAUCGACUUACCUGCGAUGCCGUCGCCGCGCCGCGCCGCUGAUCUAGUGCCCUUGUCUCUAGGCCAAGGAUUAAGAUCCCUUCUUUUGCUGUAAUGCCAUUAGCACGCAGUGGAGUGGAUUUAUAAGCGAUUGGGCCCAUGUGGGAUGAAGUUUCCACAAUAGAUACCCUCAAGAAUUGGACUCCUCUCUUGCAGCAGAAUAUUUAAUUAUUCAAAAGCAAAGGAUUGCUACAUGCCCAUCAUAUCACUUGAGGUUUAGAACAUUUUAUGAAAGUUUACCUUUUCUUUCUGAUGUUGAAUAAUGGAUUGUUUCUUAUUGAGAGACUUGUGAGGAGGUUGUUGAAGCUUCCAAAUAUACUAUGUCACUUAAAGCACUUACCAUAUGAGCUACAUUUAAACGUUGCUCCGAGAGUUGGUGUCUGUUGGAUAUGGUUUAUUCGGUUGCUUAAAUGCAUGAACAUAAUUUCUAUGGUAAAAUGCAAAUGCUUUCGAUGAUUAUUCUAAAAUAUUUCAAGUGCCAUCAGUAGAUUCUCAUCUAUGUUUUGAGAAAUGCAAGUUGUUCAGAUUUUAUAGCCAUAUAUCUGUAUGAUGAAUGUCAUGGAUUGAUGAAUGCUUUCAUGAACAACUAAAUCCAAACGUGUACAUUGACUGUAUGCCCACUUCAAAAUCUUAUUUUGCUCGUACAUUUGUGAUCCUGUGGUUUUGAUUUUUCCGCAGGAGGGUUUGAAACGGACUCUAGAGUCAUUUUCACACUUGAGGGCCAAAAGUCAACCUAACGGAGGACCAUCUAAUGCUCACAGAUUUCUUGGAGGUGGAAGGGGUACGAGCAUUCACUUUCUAUCUAUGUAGCACUCCCAAACCUAAUUACCCUGCAAGCAUUAUCACAGUUUUCUAUGCAAUAUCAAGAGAUAUGUCCAACUUAAAUUGAUGUAAACUUGCAUUGAUUGGCCAUAACAACCAUAUUUUUGGUACCAAUAUAUGGUUAACUAAUUGUGAAGCAUUGCAAGAUGAAAAAGAGUCCAAUUCAUAAAUCAGGAAACAAAACAAAGGUCGUUCCCUUUUCUCAAGGAGGUAAAGUAGGCAUAGCCAACUUUGAAUAUGUGAAGCUUUGUGAACUUAAUAAAUCUCGGUGCUCCAUAUAUUUGGUUUCAAUAGUGCUACGUCAUAAAAGGAAAAGAGUCAGAAAAAUUGAGGGGUUUAAGCUGGGGCCUACGUGCCUGAACAUGGUACAAUUAAGUACUUAAGGAAUUUGUUCCUUGCUUCAAGUUUGAAGAAUAGGAUGCUGUUGUCUCUGAAAUAGUAAGGAGACGUGCCAGUCCAAGAAGAUUCAAUUUAGGAAUUAUAAUGAAAUUUGUUAAUCAAAGGCCUAUUUACACCCAAAGUCAAACCUUUUCGCCAUUUUGCGAUUUAAUCCAACCAUUUUUAAUUUUUGUACAAUAAGUCAAAA